ACACAGAGACACUGAGAUAUAGGUUGCCGAAUGGCAACCACACGCAUACCAAGAAGACUCAAACGAAUGCAGAGCAGACCAGGACUCGUACGAAAGGACAGUAGGACAGACAGAGGGACAGUUGUGGGAUGCCAGCUGCUUAGUGCUCAAAGUCAAAAGCAUAUUUUGAUUACUUAAAUUAAAGUGGAGAGUGGAGAGGGUUCGGGCAAUGGCAAGGAAAACCCCAAAGCGGCGUUGUCACCUUUUGGGUCGGGGGGUUUGGGUGUACAUCAGGUGGCGCUCCUGCUGCUCCUCCCUUGGUGGUGAGCCCCAAAGCAAACUACUUAAAAAGAGAUCGUCAGGCGACAGCAGCCGAAAAAAAAGGUUAAGAGGCUGCAGCAGCCUCGAGAGUACCAGAGCCCUGCAGAGCCCUGCAGAGCCUUAGGAGUAGGUGACACGGCAACAGCAGCAGCAGCAGCAGCCGCAACGGCAGCAACAAUGGGGCAGCCACAAACAACAGCUAGACCAACACAAUACAGUUACAUUUCACUGAUUACCUUUUGGCUGUGGCACGGCACCCCUCCUGUAUGUGCGUGUGUGUGUGUGUGCGUGGACAGAUUUCUCUUGUUAACUACUAAUCCUAGUAAAAGGCCUUGUUGCCGUGCCCAACCCCAAGAGCCAGCAGCCAGCAGC
Drosophila guanche is the source of this 672-nucleotide long non-coding RNA. RefSeq lists it as uncharacterized. The record is from RefSeq and is a predicted model, not a curated record. The transcript has 3 exons. Lineage: Eukaryota; Metazoa; Arthropoda; Insecta; Diptera; Drosophilidae.